Molecule: transfer RNA, 59 nt
Filed under: Capra hircus (goat)
Lineage: Eukaryota; Metazoa; Chordata; Mammalia; Artiodactyla; Bovidae
Also listed under: 1 other name
Rfam family: tRNA
About the family: Transfer RNA (tRNA) molecules are approximately 80 nucleotides in length.
Source: Rfam by way of RNAcentral
GUGGUCCAGUGGUUAGGACUUGGUGCUUUCAAUGCCAUGGCCUGGGUUCAAACCCUGGC